CGCGGGGUGGAGCAGUCUGGUAGCUCGUCGGGCUCAUAACCCGAAGGCCGUUGGUUCGAAUCCAGCCCCCGCAACCA
RNAcentral lists this transfer RNA (77 nucleotides) under Oleispira sp. RNAcentral's name for it is "tRNA-Met". It matches the Rfam family "tRNA". Rfam says of the family: Transfer RNA (tRNA) molecules are approximately 80 nucleotides in length. Their secondary structure includes four short double-helical elements and three loops (D, anti-codon, and T loops). The record is from RNAcentral. Lineage: Bacteria; Pseudomonadati; Pseudomonadota; Gammaproteobacteria; Oceanospirillales; Oceanospirillaceae.